Molecule: ribosomal RNA, 1196 nt
Filed under: Limosilactobacillus reuteri
Lineage: Bacteria; Bacillati; Bacillota; Bacilli; Lactobacillales; Lactobacillaceae
Description: bacterial SSU rRNA
Rfam family: Bacterial small subunit ribosomal RNA
Source: RNAcentral
AGUAGGGAAUCUUCCACAAUGGGCGCAAGCCUGAUGGAGCAACACCGCGUGAGUGAAGAAGGGUUUCGGCUCGUAAAGCUCUGUUGUUGGAGAAGAACGUGCGUGAGAGUAACUGUUCACGCAGUGACGGUAUCCAACCAGAAAGUCACGGCUAACUACGUGCCAGCAGCCGCGGUAAUACGUAGGUGGCAAGCGUUAUCCGGAUUUAUUGGGCGUAAAGCGAGCGCAGGCGGUUGCUUAGGUCUGAUGUGAAAGCCUUCGGCUUAACCGAAGAAGUGCAUCGGAAACCGGGCGACUUGAGUGCAGAAGAGGACAGUGGAACUCCAUGUGUAGCGGUGGAAUGCGUAGAUAUAUGGAAGAACACCAGUGGCGAAGGCGGCUGUCUGGUCUGCAACUGACGCUGAGGCUCGAAAGCAUGGGUAGCGAACAGGAUUAGAUACCCUGGUAGUCCAUGCCGUAAACGAUGAGUGCUAGGUGUUGGAGGGUUUCCGCCCUUCAGUGCCGGAGCUAACGCAUUAAGCACUCCGCCUGGGGAGUACGACCGCAAGGUUGAAACUCAAAGGAAUUGACGGGGGCCCGCACAAGCGGUGGAGCAUGUGGUUUAAUUCGAAGCUACGCGAAGAACCUUACCAGGUCUUGACAUCUUGCGCUAACCUUAGAGAUAAGGCGUUCCCUUCGGGGACGCAAUGACAGGUGGUGCAUGGUCGUCGUCAGCUCGUGUCGUGAGAUGUUGGGUUAAGUCCCGCAACGAGCGCAACCCUUGUUACUAGUUGCCAGCAUUAAGUUGGGCACUCUAGUGAGACUGCCGGUGACAAACCGGAGGAAGGUGGGGACGACGUCAGAUCAUCAUGCCCCUUAUGACCUGGGCUACACACGUGCUACAAUGGACGGUACAACGAGUCGCAAGCUCGCGAGAGUAAGCUAAUCUCUUAAAGCCGUUCUCAGUUCGGACUGUAGGCUGCAACUCGCCUACACGAAGUCGGAAUCGCUAGUAAUCGCGGAUCAGCAUGCCGCGGUGAAUACGUUCCCGGGCCUUGUACACACCGCCCGUCACACCAUGGGAGUUUGUAACGCCCAAAGUCGGUGGCCUAACCUUUAUGGAGGGAGCCGCCUAAGGCGGGACAGAUGACUGGGGUGAAGUCGUAACAAGGUAGCCGUAGGAGAACCUGCGGCUGGAUCACCUCCUUUCUAAGGAA